GAUGAACGCUAGCGGGAGGCCUAACACAUGCAAGCCGAGCGGUAGAGAUUCUUCGGAAUCUUGAGAGCGGCGUACGGGUGCGGAACACGUGUGCAACCUGCCUUUAUCAGGGGGAUAGCCUUUCGAAAGGAAGAUUAAUACCCCAUAAUAUAUUUGAUGGCAUCAUUAGAUAUUGAAAGCUUUGGCGGAUAGAGAUGGGCACGCGCGAGAUUAGAUAGUUGGUGAGGUAACGGCUCACCAAGUCGAUGAUCUUUAGGGGGCCUGAGAGGGUGAUCCCCCACACUGGUACUGAGACACGGACCAGACUCCUACGGGAGGCAGCAGUGAGGAAUAUUGGACAAUGGGUUAGCGCCUGAUCCAGCCAUCCCGCGUGAAGGACGACGGCCCUAUGGGUUGUAAACUUCUUUUGUACAGGGAUAAACCUACUCUCGUGAGAGUAGCUGAAGGUACUGUACGAAUAAGCACCGGCUAACUCCGUG
RNAcentral lists this ribosomal RNA (479 nucleotides) under uncultured bacterium. RNAcentral describes it as "partial 16S ribosomal RNA". It matches the Rfam family "Bacterial small subunit ribosomal RNA", at positions 28 to 507 of the family's 1533-position model. The record is from RNAcentral.